UACGAGUGGUGCAAGCAUUGCCCGGAAUCACUGGGUGUAAAGGGUUCGUAGGCGGACAAGCAAGUCAGAUAUGAAAGACCGAAGCUCAACUUCGUGUUUGUAUUUGAAACUACUUGUCUAGAAUGAGGAAGAGGUAAGCGGAAUUCUAAGUGUAGGGGUGCAAUCCGUAGAUACUUAGAGGAACACCAAAAGCGAAGGCAGCUUACUGGGACUAUAUUGACGCUGAAGAACGAAAGCGUGGGGAGCGAAAAGG
RNAcentral lists this ribosomal RNA (253 nucleotides) under uncultured bacterium. RNAcentral's name for it is "partial 16S ribosomal RNA". It matches the Rfam family "Bacterial small subunit ribosomal RNA", at positions 524 to 776 of the family's 1533-position model. The record is from RNAcentral.